RNAcentral lists this ribosomal RNA (259 nucleotides) under uncultured bacterium. RNAcentral's name for it is "partial 16S ribosomal RNA". It matches the Rfam family "Bacterial small subunit ribosomal RNA", at positions 74 to 334 of the family's 1533-position model. The record is from RNAcentral.
CGUUGCUUUCUUUGCUGGCGACCGGCGCACGGGUGAGUAACACGUAUCCAACCUGCCCUUUACUCGGGGAUAGCCUUUCGAAAGAAAGAUUAAUACCCGAUAGCAUAAUGAUUCCGCAUGGUUUCAUUAUUAAAGGAUUCCGGUAAAGGAUGGGGAUGCGUUCCAUUAGGUUGUUGGUGGGGUAACGGCCCACCAAGCCUUCGAUGGAUAGGGGUUCUGAGAGGAAGGUCCCCCACAUUGGAACUGAGACACGGUCCAA